AGCAAGGUUAAAACAUCUAACUUGCAAGGUAAUAGAUCUGAUCUAUUGUUUAAUACAUACAUUAGAUGUAGUAUAGAAACAUGUUGAUAUGAUCAACAUGUAGUUCAUGCUCUAUAUAUUUUAAUUUUUAAUUUAAUGCUAUGUAAUAAUCAUGUAAUAGAAUCUUAGAUCUAGAGAUUCUCUGAUUUUAAAAAAUAAAUUUUGAUUUAUUUUAGUCUUCCGCUGC
This 226-nucleotide long non-coding RNA is filed under the name Elaeis guineensis (African oil palm). RNAcentral describes it as "long non-coding RNA (EGUI_LNC028308)". The record is from RNAcentral. Lineage: Eukaryota; Viridiplantae; Streptophyta; Magnoliopsida; Arecales; Arecaceae.